Molecule: ribosomal RNA, 1704 nt
Filed under: hot springs metagenome
Description: bacterial LSU rRNA
Rfam family: Bacterial large subunit ribosomal RNA
Source: RNAcentral
CCCGCAAGGGAUUAAUCGAUGGACCGCAGGGAAGAGAGAAUGCCGGCAUGAGUAGCGAGAGACGGGUGAGAAACCCGUCCGCCGAAAGCCCAAGGGUUCCUGGGGAAGGUUAAUCCGCCCAGGGUUAGUCGGGACCUAAGGCGAGGCCGAGAGGCGUAGUCGAUGGACAACCGGUUUAUAUUCCGGUACCACCAGCCAGCGCUUGAGCGAUGGGGGGACGCGGAAGGAUAGGCGAACCGCGGCGAUGGUCGACCGCGGGCAAGCGUGUAGGGCGCCGCCGAGUCAAACGCUUGGCGGCAUACCAGCCUGAGGCGUGAUGCCGACCCGCUUAUAGGGGAAGUCGCUGAAUCCAUGCCGCCGAGAAAAGCCCCUAGCGAGCUGUCUGGUGCCCGUACCCCAAACCGACACAGGUGGGCGAGUAGAGAAUACUAAGGCGAUCGAGUGAACCCUCGUUAAGGAACUCGGCAAAUUGGCCCCGUAACUUCGGGAGAAGGGGCGCCCCGUUAGCGUGACGGGACUUGCUCCCUGAGCGCGAGGGGGCCGCAGAGAACAGGCCCAAGCGACUGUUUACUAAAAACACAGGUCUCUGCUAAGUCGUAAGACGACGUAUAGGGGCUGACGCCUGCCCGGUGCCGGAAGGUUAAGGGGAAGGGUUAGCGGCCGGCUUCGGCCGGCGCGCGAAGCUCCGAACCUAAGCCCCGGUGAACGGCGGCCGUAACUAUAACGGUCCUAAGGUAGCGAAAUUCCUUGUCGGGUAAGUUCCGACCUGCACGAAUGGCGUAACGACUUGGGCGCUGUCUCAACGAGGGACUCGGCGAAAUUGCAUUGCCCGUGAAGAUGCGGGCUACCUGCAGCAGGACGGAAAGACCCCGUGAACCUUUACUGCAGCCUGAUAUUGGGUUCUGGUUCAUCAUGUGCAGGAUAGGUGGGAGGCUGUGAAGCGGGGACGCCAGUUCCCGUGGAGCCGUCCUUGGGAUACCACUCUUGGUGUGCUGGGGCUCUAACCGGCGGCCGUUAUCCGGUCGCGGGACAGUGUCAGGUGGGCAGUUUGACUGGGGCGGUCGCCUCCUAAAAGGUAACGGAGGCGCCCAAAGGUUCCCUCAAGCUGGUCGGCAAUCAGCUGUAGAGUGUAAGGGCAGAAGGGAGCUUGACUGCGAGACCCACAAGUCGAGCAGGUGCGAAAGCAGGGCCUAGUGAUCCGGCGGCAUCAAGUGGGAGAGCCGUCGCUCAACGGAUAAAAGGUACUCCGGGGAUAACAGGCUUAUCUCCCCCAAGAGUCCACAUCGACGGGGAGGUUUGGCACCUCGAUGUCGGCUCAUCGCAUCCUGGGGCUGGAGUAGGUCCCAAGGGUUGGGCUGUUCGCCCAUUAAAGCGGUACGCGAGCUGGGUUUAGAACGUCGUGAGACAGUUCGGUCCCUAUCCGCUGCAGGCGCAGGAGAAUUGAGGGGAGUUGCCCCUAGUACGAGAGGACCGGGGUGAACGGACCUCUGGUGUGCCAGUUGUCCCGCCAGGGGCACGGCUGGUUGGCUACGUCCGGACCGGAUAACCGCUGAAAGCAUCUAAGCGGGAAGCCGACCCCAAGAUCAGUUCUCCCACCGGGAAACCGGGUAAGACCCCUCGCAGAACACGAGGUUGAUAGGCCGGAUGUGGAAGCGCGGCAACGCGUGGAGCUGACCGGUACUAAUAGGUCGAGGGCUUGGUUCC